This 1249-nucleotide ribosomal RNA is filed under the name Campylobacter coli. Its description in RNAcentral is "partial 23S ribosomal RNA". It matches the Rfam family "Bacterial large subunit ribosomal RNA", at positions 1678 to 2925 of the family's 2925-position model. The record is from RNAcentral. Lineage: Bacteria; Pseudomonadati; Campylobacterota; Epsilonproteobacteria; Campylobacterales; Campylobacteraceae.
AUUCUAAGGCGCGUGGAAGAACUCUCUUUAAGGAACUCUGCAAAAUAGCACCGUAUCUUCGGUAUAAGGUGUGGUUCGCUUCGUAUUAGGAUUUACUCCGAAAGCGAAGAAACUUACAACAAAGAGUCCCUCCCGACUGUUUACCAAAAACACAGCACUCUGCUAACUCGUAAGAGGAUGUAUAGGGUGUGACGCCUGCCCGGUGCUCGAAGGUUAAUUGAUGGGGUUAGCAUUAGCGAAGCUCUUGAUCGAAGCCCGAGUAAACGGCGGCCGUAACUAUAACGGUCCUAAGGUAGCGAAAUUCCUUGUCGGUUAAAUACCGACCUGCAUGAAUGGCGUAACGAGAUGGGAGCUGUCUCAAAGAGGGAUCCAGUGAAAUUGUAGUGGAGGUGAAAAUUCCUCCUACCCGCGGCAAGACGGAAAGACCCCGUGGACCUUUACUACAGCUUGACACUGCUAUUUGGAUAAGAAUGUGCAGGAUAGGUGGGAGGCUUUGAGUAUAUGACGCCAGUUGUAUAUGAGCCAUUGUUGAGAUACCACUCUUUCUUAUUUGGGUAGCUAACCAGCUUGAGUUAUCCUCAAGUGGGACAAUGUCUGGUGGGUAGUUUGACUGGGGCGGUCGCCUCCCAAAUAAUAACGGAGGCUUACAAAGGUUGGCUCAGAACGGUUGGAAAUCGUUCGUAGAGUAUAAAGGUAUAAGCCAGCUUAACUGCAAGACAUACAAGUCAAGCAGAGACGAAAGUCGGUCUUAGUGAUCCGGUGGUUCUGUGUGGAAGGGCCAUCGCUCAAAGGAUAAAAGGUACCCCGGGGAUAACAGGCUGAUCUCCCCCAAGAGCUCACAUCGACGGGGAGGUUUGGCACCUCGAUGUCGGCUCAUCGCAUCCUGGGGCUGGAGCAGGUCCCAAGGGUAUGGCUGUUCGCCAUUUAAAGCGGUACGCGAGCUGGGUUCAGAACGUCGUGAGACAGUUCGGUCCCUAUCUGCCGUGGGCGUAAGAAGAUUGAAGAGAUUUGACCCUAGUACGAGAGGACCGGGUUGAACAAACCACUGGUGUAGCUGUUGUUCUGCCAAGAGCAUCGCAGCGUAGCUAAGUUUGGAAAGGAUAAACGCUGAAAGCAUCUAAGCGUGAAGCCAACUCUAAGAUGAAUCUUCUCUAAGCUCUCUAGAAGACUACUAGUUUGAUAGGCUGGGUGUGUAAUGGAUGAAAGUCCUUUAGCUGACCAGUACUAAUAGAGCGUUUGGCUUAUCUUU